RNAcentral lists this long non-coding RNA (1467 nucleotides) under Homo sapiens (human). Its description in RNAcentral is "non-protein coding lnc-SPATA5-1:2". The record is from RNAcentral. Lineage: Eukaryota; Metazoa; Chordata; Mammalia; Primates; Hominidae.
UAUUCAGAUUUUCAACCCAGUCAUUGUUAUGCUAUUUUAACUGUUGAUGAGCAUAAAGAAAAAGCAAGUUUUUUAGUUCUUGUUAUGACUAAAAUGGUGCUAAGCCCCCCUUCAGUAGCUAUGUAUCAAAAUCUCUAAAAGAAGGACCUAAAAAGUUAUUACUCAAAUCGAAUGAUCAUUUAACAUGAAUAAAUCAAAGUAGAAAACAAUAAGUCAGUCUUGGAAUUUAACAUCCAUUUCUCAUUUUUAAAAAAAAGUAAGGAUAACAUUAACAUGUUAAAAAUAAUAGUCCUAAACCAAUAGCUAAUAACAUAAAUAUCAGAAGCUAGAACAAAGAUCCAUUACCACCACUUUUGUUCAUCGUUUUUCUUUGAGCACCAGUCAAUGAAGUCAAACCAGGGAAUAGAGUCAGAACCCCAAAAUAAGUAACUGAGGGAUUAUGUAAAUAUGUCCCCAUACCUAACUGUUAUAACAAAAUAAGGUCACAUUUCCUUUCAUACUCAAUUUAUGUCUUUGAGUCUUUCUCCCACCAACAACCACAAGCCCCUUCUACCAAUUUCACUUCCUCAAGUACUUUCCGGGACUCAGUCCCUGAUUAGUGCUUUCAGUUUGUUAAGUAUAUGUUGGCAGGAGCUUAACACCUGCUCUCCACUGCCAACUUCACCCCCAUUCCACAUUCUUUCCCAAUCCAGUAAGCCACUCCGCAUCCCCGGGCCCCUGGUGCUGCCUGCUAACAAGCUCCUCAAGGUCUGCCCACCAUGAACAUCAUAAUGUUAUGGUGCUGAGUCAUUUCAUUCAAUUGUCUCAAGCAUUUUCAUUGUAGAAAGAGAUCUUUGUUUUUAUUUUUUAAUAACUAAAAUUUACAUUGACUUUUUAAACUAAGAAUCUUUGCCUCCAAGAUAAAUUUUUUCUCUAUCUUGAGAACAACAGUAAACAACAUCAGGAAGUUUUAAAACUGCUUUCAGAUUAUCACGGUUCCAGAAAUAAUGUAUUUUGUAUUUCAGUCUUAAAGGAGCAUAUUCCCUUUGCAAGCCCUGGAGUUCAGUAAGCUGGAUUCUUAGCUAGUGUCUCCAUAAAGUGGACACGGAAAGGAAGAGAAUGUAGACACAUCAAAAGGACGCCUCGUCAGUUGAGAAACAAGGCAUUUUCAAGAAGCAGUAACAGAAGAUCAUGAGGAUGAACCAAUCCAGUAAAGACCCUUGUAUGUAGUUCUUAGUGGUUCAUUAGCGACCUUUAAGGAAGCAGUAUCAAUGGGAUAAUGAAUAAAGGGUAAAUAGGGGUUGCACUAUGAGUUACAUAAUUUGUUUUUCAAAAAUUGUUAAUAUAAUAAGUGUGUCAGUUAUUAAGUUCUCUUCUAUCUCCAAAUCCAAGCUUCUAAACUUUGCUUUGGGUUGCUAAAGCAGUCACUAGACAAGCCAUUUCUGCAUUGCUGGCUGAUGCCUUAAUAGGCUGUGCCAACAGGAGAGG